AGAAUCAACGCUGGCGGCGUGCCUAACACAUGCAAGUCGAACGAGAAAGUGGAGCAAUCCAUGAGUAAAGUGGCGACCGGGUGAGUAACACGUGACUAACCUACCUUCGAGUGGGGGAUAACCUCGGGAAACCGAGGCUAAUACCGCAUAACAUCGCAAGAUCAAAGCAGCAAUGCGCUUAAAGAGGGGGUCGCGGCUGAUUAGCUAGUUGGCGGGUAACGCCCACCAAGGCGAAGAUCGGUA
This 243-nucleotide ribosomal RNA is filed under the name uncultured bacterium. RNAcentral's name for it is "partial small subunit ribosomal RNA". It matches the Rfam family "Bacterial small subunit ribosomal RNA", at positions 26 to 285 of the family's 1533-position model. The record is from RNAcentral.